Ictidomys tridecemlineatus (thirteen-lined ground squirrel) is the source of this 72-nucleotide non-coding RNA. The record is from Rfam. Lineage: Eukaryota; Metazoa; Chordata; Mammalia; Rodentia; Sciuridae.
UGUAUUGUGGCUCAGAGGUAGAGCACUCGUCUAGCAUGCAUGAGGCACUGGGUUUGAUCCUCAGCACUACAU